This 1470-nucleotide ribosomal RNA is filed under the name Neisseria meningitidis. RNAcentral describes it as "16S ribosomal RNA". It matches the Rfam family "Bacterial small subunit ribosomal RNA". The record is from RNAcentral. Lineage: Bacteria; Pseudomonadati; Pseudomonadota; Betaproteobacteria; Neisseriales; Neisseriaceae.
UGAACGCUGGCGGCAUGCUUUACACAUGCAAGUCGGACGGCAGCACAGAGAAGCUUGCUUCUUGGGUGGCGAGUGGCGAACGGGUGAGUAACAUAUCGGAACGUACCGAGUAGUGGGGGAUAACUGAUCGAAAGAUCAGCUAAUACCGCAUACGUCUUGAGAGAGAAAGCAGGGGACCUUUGGGCCUUGCGCUAUUCGAGCGGCCGAUAUCUGAUUAGCUGGUUGGUGGGGUAAAGGCCUACCAAGGCGACGAUCAGUAGCGGGUCUGAGAGGAUGAUCCGCCACACUGGGACUGAGACACGGCCCAGACUCCUACGGGAGGCAGCAGUGGGGAAUUUUGGACAAUGGGCGCAAGCCUGAUCCAGCCAUGCCGCGUGUCUGAAGAAGGCCUUCGGGUUGUAAAGGACUUUUGUCAGGGAAGAAAAGGCUGUUGCUAAUAUCAGCGGCUGAUGACGGUACCUGAAGAAUAAGCACCGGCUAACUACGUGCCAGCAGCCGCGGUAAUACGUAGGGUGCGAGCGUUAAUCGGAAUUACUGGGCGUAAAGCGGGCGCAGACGGUUACUUAAGCAGGAUGUGAAAUCCCCGGGCUCAACCCGGGAACUGCGUUCUGAACUGGGUGACUCGAGUGUGUCAGAGGGAGGUAGAAUUCCACGUGUAGCAGUGAAAUGCGUAGAGAUGUGGAGGAAUACCGAUGGCGAAGGCAGCCUCCUGGGACAACACUGACGUUCAUGCCCGAAAGCGUGGGUAGCAAACAGGAUUAGAUACCCUGGUAGUCCACGCCCUAAACGAUGUCAAUUAGCUGUUGGGCAACUUGAUUGCUUAGUAGCGUAGCUAACGCGUGAAAUUGACCGCCUGGGGAGUACGGUCGCAAGAUUAAAACUCAAAGGAAUUGACGGGGACCCGCACAAGCGGUGGAUGAUGUGGAUUAAUUCGAUGCAACGCGAAGAACCUUACCUGGUCUUGACAUGUACGGAAUCCUCCAGAGACGGAGGAGUGCCUUCGGGAGCCGUAACACAGGUGCUGCAUGGCUGUCGUCAGCUCGUGUCGUGAGAUGUUGGGUUAAGUCCCGCAACGAGCGCAACCCUUGUCAUUAGUUGCCAUCAUUCAGUUGGGCACUCUAAUGAGACUGCCGGUGACAAGCCGGAGGAAGGUGGGGAUGACGUCAAGUCCUCAUGGCCCUUAUGACCAGGGCUUCACACGUCAUACAAUGGUCGGUACAGAGGGUAGCCAAGCCGCGAGGCGGAGCCAAUCUCACAAAACCGAUCGUAGUCCGGAUUGCACUCUGCAACUCGAGUGCAUGAAGUCGGAAUCGCUAGUAAUCGCAGGUCAGCAUACUGCGGUGAAUACGUUCCCGGGUCUUGUACACACCGCCCGUCACACCAUGGGAGUGGGGGAUACCAGAAGUAGGUAGGGUAACCGCAAGGAGUCCGCUUACCACGGUAUGCUUCAUGACUGGGGUGAAGUCGUAA